GCCCAUUAGCACUAUAGAUGUACCUCGGUAAAGCCAUAGCUAGAGCCUUUUUUUUAUAAGACUUCAUUAGCACUGUCAAAUAUAUCGGUGUUCCAACCAAGACUUAAAGUGUACCGAAUAGCCAUAUUAGUGUUCCGUUUCUGGCUAUGAUGUGAAAAAUCAUGUCUUCACUAUAAAAGUGGUCAUAUCACUACUAGAUAUAUGGGUGUGCUCUAUACCACUACAGAUGCACCUCAGUAAAGCAAUAGCUAGAGAUUUUUUUUAUAACA
Molecule: long non-coding RNA, 269 nt
Filed under: Ananas comosus (pineapple)
Lineage: Eukaryota; Viridiplantae; Streptophyta; Magnoliopsida; Poales; Bromeliaceae
Description: long non-coding RNA (ACOM_LNC035231)
Source: RNAcentral